GAUGAACGCUGGCGGCGUGCCUAACACAUGCAAGUCGAACGGGAUGCGUAUCGGAAAGCUUCGGCCGGAAGAUGCGUUAUCUAGUGGCGGACGGGUGAGUAACACGUGGGUAACCUGCCUUAUGGAGGGGGAUAACAGAGAGAAAUCACUGCUAAUACCGCAUAAGCACACAGUACCGCAUGGUACAGGGUGAAAAGAUUUAUCACCAUAAGAUGGACCCGCGUCUGAUUAGCCAGUUGGCAGGGUAAAAGCCUACCAAAGCAACGAUCAGUAGCCGAUCUGAGAGGAUGACCGGCCACAUUGGGACUGAGACACGGCCCAAACUCCUACGGGAGGCAGCAGUGGGGAAUAUUGCACAAUGGGGGAAACCCUGAUGCAGCGACGCCGCGUGAGUGAAGAAGUAUUUCGGUAUGUAAAGCUCUNUCAGCAGGGAAGAUAA
Molecule: ribosomal RNA, 439 nt
Filed under: uncultured bacterium
Lineage: Bacteria
Description: bacterial SSU rRNA
Rfam family: Bacterial small subunit ribosomal RNA
Source: RNAcentral